UACGGGGGGAGCAAGCGUUGUUCGGAUUUACUGGGCGUAAAGGGCGCGUAGGCGGUCGUGACAAGUCACUUGUGAAAUCUCCGGGCUUAACUCGGAACGGUCAAGUGAUACUGUCGGACUAGAGUACAGAAGGGGCAACUGGAAUUCUCGGUGUAGCGGUGAAAUGCGUAGAUAUCGAGAGGAACACCUGCGGCGAAGGCGGGUUGCUGGGCUGAUACUGACGCUGAGGCGCGAAAGCAUGGGUAGCGAACAGG
This 254-nucleotide ribosomal RNA is filed under the name uncultured bacterium. RNAcentral describes it as "partial 16S ribosomal RNA". It matches the Rfam family "Bacterial small subunit ribosomal RNA", at positions 524 to 776 of the family's 1533-position model. The record is from RNAcentral.